AUUGAACGCUGGCGGCAUGCCUUACACAUGCAAGUCGAACGGUAACGGGCCUUCGGGUGCCGACGAGUGGCGAACGGGUGAGUAAUGCAUCGGAACGUACCUUUCAGUGGGGGAUAACGUAGCGAAAGUUACGCUAAUACCGCAUAUUCUGUGAGCAGGAAAGCAGGGGAUCGCAAGACCUUGCGCUGAUUGAGCGGCCGAUGUCAGAUUAGCUAGUUGGUGAGGUAAAGGCUCACCAAGGCGACGAUCUGUAGCGGGUCUGAGAGGAUGAUCCGCCACACUGGAACUGAGACACGGUCCAGACUCCUACGGGAGGCAGCAGUGGGGAAUUUUGGACAAUGGGGGCAACCCUGAUCCAGCCAUGCCGCGUGAGUGAAGAAGGCCUUCGGUUGUAAAGGACUCUUUCGGUCCGGGAACGGAAA
Molecule: ribosomal RNA, 422 nt
Filed under: uncultured bacterium
Lineage: Bacteria
Description: bacterial SSU rRNA
Rfam family: Bacterial small subunit ribosomal RNA
Source: RNAcentral